GUCUAUGGCCAUACCACUCUGAACGCACCCGAUCUCAUCUGCUCUCAGAAGCUAAGCAGGGUCAGGCCUGGUUAGUACUUAGAUGGGAGAAGUGUGAAUUUGGAGCCAAAAAAU
Molecule: ribosomal RNA, 114 nt
Filed under: Oryctolagus cuniculus (rabbit)
Lineage: Eukaryota; Metazoa; Chordata; Mammalia; Lagomorpha; Leporidae
Source: RNAcentral